This 1245-nucleotide ribosomal RNA is filed under the name metagenome. Its description in RNAcentral is "bacterial LSU rRNA". It matches the Rfam family "Bacterial large subunit ribosomal RNA", at positions 1564 to 2818 of the family's 2925-position model. The record is from RNAcentral.
UGAAUACGAGACGCUAAGGCGUCGAAGUAGUGUAUGUCAUACUUCCAAGAAAAGCUUGCACUGUCAUAGAUAAAAAACGCCUGUACCAUAACCGACACAGGUGGGUAGGUAGAGUAUACUAAGGGGCACGAGAUAACUCUCUCUAAGGAACUCGGCAAAAUAACUCCGUAACUUCGGGAGAAGGAGUGCCUUAUUCGUAAGGUUGCAAUAACAAGAUCCAAGCAACUGUUUAUCAAAAACACAGGUCUCCGCUAAGUCGUAAGACGAUGUAUGGGGGCUGACGCCUGCCCAGUGCCAGAAGGUUAAAGAAGUUGGUUAGCAAUUGCGAAGCUGAUAACUGAAGCCCUGGUGAACGGCGGCCGUAACAAUAACGGUCCUAAGGUAGCGAAAUUCCUUGUCGGGUAAGUUCCGACCCGCACGAAAGGCGUAAUGAUUUGGAUACUGUCUCGGAGAGGGGCUCGGUGAAAUAGACUUGUCUGUGAAGAUGCGGACUACCUGCACCAGGACAGAAAGACCCUAUGAAGCUUUACUGUAACUUGAAAUUGAAAUUGGACUUUAUUCGCGCAGUAUAGGUGGGAGGCGUUGAUUAUAAUCUUGUGGGAUUAUUGGAGCCAUCAGUGAGAUACCACUCUUGUAAUGUUAGAUUUCUAACUUUGAAUCAUUAUCUGGUCAAAGAACAGUUUCAGGCGGGCAGUUUGACUGGGGCGGUCGCCUCCUAAACGGUAACGGAGGCGUACAAAGGUUUCCUCUGAACGGUUAGAAAUCGUAUCUAGAGUGUAAAGGCAUAAGGAAGCUUGACUGUGAGACCUACAAGUCGAGCAGGGACGAAAGUCGGUCUUAGUGAUCUGACGGUACUGAGUGGAAAGGCCGUCACUCAACGGAUAAAAGUUACUCUAAGGAUAACAGGCUGAUCUCCCCCAAGAGUUCACAUCGACGGGGAGGUUUGGCACCUCGAUGUCGGCUCAUCGCAUCCUGGGGCGGUAGUACGUCCCAAGGGUUGGGCUGUUCGCCCAUGAAAGCGGUACGCGAGCUGGGUUCAGAACGUCGUGAGACAGUUCGGUCCAUAUCCGGUGUAGGCGUUAGAAUAUUGAGAGGAGCCUUCUUUAGUACGAGAGGACCGAGAAGGACAUACCUCUGGUGUACCAGUUAUCGUGCCAACGGUAAACGCUGGGUAGCUAUGUAUGGAGUGGAUAACCGCUGAAAGCAUCUAAGUGGGAAGCCCACCUCAAGAUAAGUAUUCUCACC